This 83-nucleotide transfer RNA is filed under the name Kolteria novifilia. RNAcentral's name for it is "Planctomycetes bacterium Pan216 tRNA-Leu". It matches the Rfam family "tRNA". Rfam says of the family: Transfer RNA (tRNA) molecules are approximately 80 nucleotides in length. Their secondary structure includes four short double-helical elements and three loops (D, anti-codon, and T loops). Lineage: Bacteria; Pseudomonadati; Planctomycetota; Planctomycetia; Kolteriales; Kolteriaceae. The record is from RNAcentral.
GCGAGAGUGGCGGAAUUGGCAGACGCGCUGGAUUUAGGAUCCAGUGGGGCAACCCGUGCAGGUUCAAGUCCUGUCUCUCGCAC